This 253-nucleotide ribosomal RNA is filed under the name uncultured bacterium. Its description in RNAcentral is "partial 16S ribosomal RNA". It matches the Rfam family "Bacterial small subunit ribosomal RNA", at positions 524 to 776 of the family's 1533-position model. The record is from RNAcentral.
UACGUAGGUGGCAAGCGUUGUCCGGAUUUACUGGGCGUAAAGAGCGCGCAGGCGGUCGUUCAAGUCGCGUGUGAAAGCCCCCGGCUCAACUGGGGAGGGUCACGCGAUACUGAUCGACUGGAAGGCAGGAGAGGGUAGUGGAAUUCCCGGUGUAGUGGUGAAAUGCGUAGAUAUCGGGAGGAACACCAGUGGCGAAGGCGACUACCUGGCCUGUUCUUGACGCUGAGGCGCGAAAGCUAGGGGAGCAAAUGGG